UUCCGGUUGAUCCUGCCGGACCUGACUGCUAUCGGAUUGAUACUAAGCCAUGUGAGUCCUUGUAGCAAUACAAGGCAGACGGCUCAGUAACACGUAGUCAAUCUACCCUAUGGACGGGGAUAACCUCGGGAAACUGAGGAUAACACCCGAUAGAUCAUAAUGCCUGGAACGGUUUAUGGUCCAAAUGAUUCGUCGCCGUAGGAUGGGACUGCGGCCUAUCAGCUUGUUGGUGAGGUAAUGGCCCACCAAGGCUAUUACAGGUACGGGCUCUGAGAGGAGAAGCCCGGAGAUGGGUACUGAGACACGGACCCAGGCCCUAUGGGGCGCAGCAGGCGAGAAACCUUUGCAAUGUGCGCAAGCACGACAAGGUUAAUCCGAGUGUUUCCUGCUAAAGGAAUCUUUUGUUAGUUGUAAAACCACUAUCGAAUAAGGGGUGGGCAAGUUCUGGUGUCAGCCGCCGCGGUAAAACCAGCACCUCAAGUGGUCAGGAGGAUUAUUGGGCCUAAAGCAUCCGUAACCGGCUCAGUAAGUUUUCGGUUAAAUCUGUACGCUCAACGUACAGGCUGCCGGGAAUACUCAGAGCUAGGGAGUGGGAGAGGUAGACGGUACUCGGGAGGAAGUGGUAAAAUGCUUUGAUCUUUCGAUGACCACCUGUGGCGAAGGCGGUCUACCAGAACACGUUCGACGGUGAGGGAUGAAAGCUGGGGGAGCAAACCGGAUUAGAUACCCGGGUAGUCCCAGCUGUAAACGAUGCAGACUCGGUGAUGCCCUGGCUUGUGGCCAGUGCAGUGCCGCAGGGAAGCCGUUAAGUCUGCCGCCUGGGAAGUACGUACGCAAGUAUGAAACUUAAAGGAAUUGGCGGGGGAGCACCACAAGGGGUGAAGCCUGCGGUUCAAUUGGAUUCAACGCCGGG
Molecule: ribosomal RNA, 913 nt
Filed under: uncultured archaeon
Lineage: Archaea
Description: bacterial SSU rRNA
Rfam family: Archaeal small subunit ribosomal RNA
Source: RNAcentral